RNAcentral lists this ribosomal RNA (1128 nucleotides) under Triticum aestivum (bread wheat). RNAcentral's name for it is "partial small subunit ribosomal RNA". The record is from RNAcentral. Lineage: Eukaryota; Viridiplantae; Streptophyta; Magnoliopsida; Poales; Poaceae.
AUGGCAGAAGCCAGCAGGGAGGCCACAGGCGCAGCGCCUCAACCUCUCCACGUCGUGGUGUUCCCAUGGCUAGCGUUCGGCCAUUUCGUCCCCUUCCUCGAGCUCUCCGAGCAGCUCGCCAGGCGCGGGCAUGCCGUCACCUUCGUCUCCACGCCGAGGAACGUCGCCAGGCUGAGGCUCGUCAGCCCCCGCAUCCGCCUCCUCCCCCUGCUCCUGCCGAGCGUCGACGGCCUGCCGGACGGCGCCGAGUCCACGGCCGACGUCCCGCCAGAGAAGGUGGACCUCCUCAAGGUGGCGUUCGACGGCCUCGCCGCCCCUUUCGCCGGCUUUCUUGACGAGGCUUGCGCCGGCGGGGACGGUGCGACGGAGUUCGGCAGGAGGCCCGACUGGAUCUUCGUCGACUUCGCACACUACUGGCUCCCGCCCAUCGCUGAGCAGCACAAGGUGCCGUGCGCCUUGUUCCACAUCUGCCCGGCGCCGUUCAUGGCCUUCAUCGGCCCCAAGGCGGCGAACGACGCGCACCCGCGGACGACGGCGGAGGACCUGAUGGCGCAGCCGCGGUGGAUCCCGUUCCCGACCACCAUCGCCCACCGCCUCCACGAGGCCAGGGACAUGCUGGUCCAGACGUUCCGCGCCAACGCGUCCGGCCCGUCCGACGCCUGCCGGCUCUGGCAGACGGAGCAGCGCUGCCCGCUCGUGAUCCUGCGCGGCAGCCGCGAGGUCGACGGCCCGCUCGGGCCCUUCCUGGCCGACCUCUUCAGCAAGCCCGUCGCCCUCUGCGGCCUCCUCGCCCCAUACGACGCCGCGCUCGCCGCCCAAGAAGGAGCCGACCAUGUCGACGACGAGAGCGAGAGCGCGAGCCUCAUGCGCUGGCUGGACGAGCAGCCGGCGAGGUCCGUCAUCUACGUCGCGUUCGGGAGCGAGGCGCCGCUGACCGGCCACCACGUCCGCGAGCUGGCGCUAGGGCUGGAGCUCGCGGGCGCGCGGUUCCUCUGGGCGCUGCGGGGGCCGAGCGCCGCGCUGCUCCCAGACGGAUUCGAGGAGCGCGUGGCCGUGUCCGGGCGCGGCGUGGUGCGCGUGGGGUGGGUGCCGCAGGUGCGCAUCCUGGCGCACGGCGCGGUGGGCUGA